CGCUGGCGGCGUGCCUAACACAUGCAAGUCGAGCGGAGUUAACAGGAGGAAGUUUUCGGAUGGAAUUUGUUAAUUAGCGGCGGACGGGUGAGUAACGCGUGAGCGACCAACCUUGCACGAGGGGAUAACGGACCGAAAGGUUCACUAAUACCGCAUGAGACCACGGUGUUGCAUGACACAGAGGUACAAAGGAGCAAUCCGGUGCAAGACGGGCUCGCGUCCGAUUAGGUAGUUGGUGGGUAAUGGCCCACCAAGCCUAUGAUCGGUAGCCGACCUGAGAGGGUGAUCGGCCACAUUGGAACUGAGAUACCGGUCCAAACUCCGUACGGGAGGCAGCAGGUGGGGAAUUAGUUGGGACCAAGUGGGGGAAACCCUGACCCAGCAACGCCGCGUGAAGGAAGUAAGGUUUCGGAUUGUAAACUUCUGUCCUUGGUGAAGAGAAGAAGACGGUAGCCAAGGAGGAACGCCCCGGCUAACUACGUGCCAGCCGCCGC
RNAcentral lists this ribosomal RNA (494 nucleotides) under uncultured bacterium. Its description in RNAcentral is "bacterial SSU rRNA". It matches the Rfam family "Bacterial small subunit ribosomal RNA", at positions 34 to 518 of the family's 1533-position model. The record is from RNAcentral.